GACGGCCAUGGUGACUUGCAAGCAACUCACUGCACUUAGGCACUGGACUACCUGAAUUUUUAAUUCAGUGACGGAAGGCUGCUGGGUGUAGUCAAGUACUUGACUUGUCGGUGCGUGUAUCAAGAUGGGAUUGACCACUCCAGUUUAGGAGUUGUAUACAGUCAUAUUUCAAUUUAGCAAAACUUUGGCCAGGGUAGUCUUUGUGAGGAGUCACAGGACUGUUUGAGUUGAGCAUGAUUCAGAUGAUCUAAUCAGGGUGGACAGUUUAACCCUGAGUCAUCCUAAACACAGAGGUCAAAAGGAUGAAUUAUACAGUAACCAUAUUCA
Molecule: long non-coding RNA, 327 nt
Filed under: Elaeis guineensis (African oil palm)
Lineage: Eukaryota; Viridiplantae; Streptophyta; Magnoliopsida; Arecales; Arecaceae
Description: long non-coding RNA (EGUI_LNC074402)
Source: RNAcentral